Molecule: ribosomal RNA, 253 nt
Filed under: uncultured bacterium
Lineage: Bacteria
Description: partial 16S ribosomal RNA
Rfam family: Bacterial small subunit ribosomal RNA
Source: RNAcentral
UACGUAGGGUGCGAGCGUUAAUCGGAAUGACUGGGCGUAAAGGGUGCGUAGGCGGUUUGCUAAGACGGAUGUGAAAUCCCCGGGCUCAACCUGGGAACAGCAUAUGUGACUGGCAGGCUAGAGUAUAGAAGAGGGGGGUAGAAUUCCACGUGUAGCAGUGAAAUGCGUAGAGAUGUGGAGGAAUACCGAUGGCGAAGGCAGCCCCCUGGUCAUAUACUGACGCUGAGGCACGAAAGCGUGGGGAGCAAACAGG